UACGUAGGGUGCGAGCGUUAAUCGGAAUUACUGGGCGUAAAGCGUGCGCAGGCGGUUCGUUAUGUCCGAUGUGAAAGCCCCGAGCUCAACUUGGGAAUGGCAUUGGAAACUGGCGGGCUGGAGUGUGGCAGAGGGGGGUGGAAUUCCACGUGUAGCAGUGAAAUGCGUAGAGAUGUGGAGGAACACCGAUGGCGAAGGCAGCCCCCUGGGCCAACACUGACGCUCAGGCACUAAAGCGUGGGGAGCAAACAGG
RNAcentral lists this ribosomal RNA (253 nucleotides) under uncultured bacterium. RNAcentral's name for it is "partial 16S ribosomal RNA". It matches the Rfam family "Bacterial small subunit ribosomal RNA", at positions 524 to 776 of the family's 1533-position model. The record is from RNAcentral.